GACGAACGCUGGCGGCGUGCUUAACACAUGCAAGUCGAACGGAAAGGCCCUGCUUUUGUGGGGUGCUCGAGUGGCGAACGGGUGAGUAACACGUGAGUAACCUGCCCUUGACUUUGGGAUAACUUCAGGAAACUGGGGCUAAUACCGGAUAGGAGCUCCUGCUGCAUGGUGGGGGUUGGAAAGUUUCGGCGGUUGGGGAUGGACUCGCGGCUUAUCAGCUUGUUGGUGGGGUAGUGGCUUACCAAGGCUUUGACGGGUAGCCGGCCUGAGAGGGUGACCGGCCACAUUGGGACUGGGGUACGGCCCAGACUCCUACGGGAGGCAGCAGUGGGGAAUAUUGCACAAUGGGCGGAAGCAUGAUGCCGCAACGCCGCGUGCGAGAUGACGGCCUUCGGGUUGUGUACCGCUUUCGCCUGUGCCGAAGCGUGAGUGACGGUAAUGGGUAAAGAAGCACCGGCUAACUACGUG
RNAcentral lists this ribosomal RNA (468 nucleotides) under uncultured bacterium. RNAcentral describes it as "partial 16S ribosomal RNA". It matches the Rfam family "Bacterial small subunit ribosomal RNA", at positions 28 to 507 of the family's 1533-position model. The record is from RNAcentral.